Molecule: ribosomal RNA, 497 nt
Filed under: uncultured bacterium
Lineage: Bacteria
Description: partial 16S ribosomal RNA
Rfam family: Bacterial small subunit ribosomal RNA
Source: RNAcentral
GAUGAACGCUGGCGGCGUGCCUAAUACAUGCAAGUCGAGCGAACAGACGAGGAGCUUGCUCCUCUGACGUUAGCGGCGGACGGGUGAGUAACACGUGGAUAACCUACCUAUAAGACUGGGAUAACUUCGGGAAACCGGAGCUAAUACCGGAUAAUAUAUUGAACCGCAUGGUUCAAUAGUGAAAGACGGUUUUGCUGUCACUUAUAGAUUGAUCCGCGCCGCAUUAGCUAGUUGGUAAGGUAACGGCUUACCAAGGCAACGAUGCGUAGCCGACCUGAGAGGGUGAUCGGCCACACUGGAACUGAGACACGGUCCAGACUCCUACGGGAGGCAGCAGAAGGGAAUCUUCCGCAAUGGGCGAAAGCCUGACGGAGCAACGCCGCGUGAGUGAUGAAGGUCUUCGGAUCGUAAAACUCUGUUAUUAGGGAAGAACAAAUGUGUAAGUAACUAUGCACGUCUUGACGGUACAUAAUCAGAAAGCCACGGCUAACUACGUG